AGAAAGGGCUACAUGGCUGAAACAUUUGUCACCCCGCUGAUGUGCCUGGCUGAUCAAAGUUGACAAGGUUGAUCUGGCUGCUGCAGCAAGUGUUUCCUUUCUCCCUCACCACUCUGUGAGCAUCCCUCCUGAAAGUUUCAUGCUCAGUUGAAGAGGAAAACCUUCCCCAAAUAGAGAUGGACUGAUCUUCCCCGGGAGGGUAUGUGAGUAUCUGUGCUCCCCCGCUAGAACUUCCAAACAAGCUCUUAAGAAAUUAAUGCAAGACUGGGAGUAUGGACCGACCAGUCAACGCCCAUGUUCAGCAGGGAAGCAAUUACAGAAGCCAGACCUUCUACCUUCUGC
Erinaceus europaeus (western European hedgehog) is the source of this 342-nucleotide unclassified non-coding RNA. Its record names the gene 7SK. It matches the Rfam family "7SK RNA". Rfam says of the family: 7SK was discovered as an abundant small nuclear RNA in the mid-70s but a possible function has only recently been suggested. Two independent studies have found that 7SK RNA binds the CDK9/cyclin T complex (known as elongation factor P-TEFb). Lineage: Eukaryota; Metazoa; Chordata; Mammalia; Eulipotyphla; Erinaceidae. The record is from Ensembl.